This 72-nucleotide transfer RNA is filed under the name Penaeus vannamei (Pacific white shrimp). Its description in RNAcentral is "Litopenaeus vannamei (Pacific white shrimp) tRNA". It matches the Rfam family "tRNA". From Rfam's summary of the family: Transfer RNA (tRNA) molecules are approximately 80 nucleotides in length. Their secondary structure includes four short double-helical elements and three loops (D, anti-codon, and T loops). The record is from Rfam by way of RNAcentral. Lineage: Eukaryota; Metazoa; Arthropoda; Malacostraca; Decapoda; Penaeidae.
UCCAGUGUGGUCUAGUGGCUAGGAUACGCGGGUCUCACCCGCGAGGCCCGGGUUCGAUUCCCGGCACGGGAA